UCAAGUAAAUAAAGCGCGUAUGGUGGAUGCCUUGGCAGUAAGAGGCGAUAAAGGACGUAGUAGCUUGCGAUAAGCUUCGGGAAGCUGGCAAACAAGCAAUGAUCCGGAGAUUUCCGAAUGGGAAAACCCAACCUUUUGAGGUUAUUAUGUGCUAAAUUCAUAGGUACAUAAAGCGAACCUGGAGAACUGAAACAUCUAAGUACCCAGAGGAAAAAAAAUCAACCGAGAUUCCGUUAGUAGCGGCGAGCGAAAGCGGAACAGCCCAGUUACUAAAUCAUUAUUAGUUUUAGCAGAAUGUUCUGGAAAGUUCAGCCAUAGUAGGUGAUAGCCCCGUAUGUAAAAAGGCUAAUAAUGUGGGUAACAAUGAGUAAGUCGGGACACGUGAAAUCUUGACUGAAUAUGGGGGGACCAUCCUCCAAGGCUAAAUACUCCUUACUGACCGAUAGCGAACUAGUACCGUAAGGGAAAGGUAAAAAGAACCCCGAUAAGGGGAGUGAAAUAGAACCUGAAACCGUAUGCGUACAAGCAGUCAAAGCAUUUUUUAAAAAAUGUAAUGGCGUACCUUUUGUAUAAUGGGUCAGCGACUUACUUGUUGUAGCAAGCUUAACCGUAUAGGGGAGGCGUAAGGAAACUGAGUCUGAAAUAGGCGUUUAGUUGCAACGAGUAAACCCGAAACCGGGCGAUCUAUCUAUGACCAGGGUGAAGGUCAAGUAACAUUGACUGGAGGCCCGAACCCACUACUGUUGAAAAAGUAGGGGAUGAGUUGUAGAUAGGAGUGAAAGACUAAUCAAGCUCGGAAAUAGCUGGUUCUCCUCGAAAGCUAUUUAGGUAGCGCCUCGUGUAUGACUCUUGGGGGUAGAGCACUGUUUUGGCUAAAAGGCUUCCCAGCCUGUUAAACCAAGGCAAACUCCGAAUACCAAGAAGUUUUAGCAUGGGAGACACACUACGGGUGAUAAGGUCCGUGGUGAAAAGGGAAACAGCCCAGACCGCCAGCUAAGGUCCCAAAAUUAUAGUUAAGUGAAAAACGAUGUGGGAGGUCUCAGACAGCCAGGAGGUUGGCUUAGAAGCAGCCAUCCUUUAAAGAAAGCGUAAUAGCUCACUGGUCAAGUCAUCCUGCGCGAAAGAUUUAACGGGGCUUAAACUAUAUACCGAAGCUGCGGAGCUCUUUUUUAAAGAGCUGGUAGAGGAGCGUUCUGUAAACCUGUAAAGGUAAAUUGAAAAAUUUGCUGGAGGUAUCAGAAGUGCAAAUGCUGACAUAAGUAACGAUAAUGUAGGUGAAAAACCUACACGCCGAAAGUCCAAGGUUUCCUGCGCAACGCUAAUCGGCGCAGGGUGAGUCGGCCCCUAAGGCAAAGUAGAAAUGCGUAGUCGAUGGGAAACAGGUUAAUAUUCCUGUACUUUAUAAUACUGCGAUGGGAGGACGAAGAAGGCUAGGUCAGCCACUUAAUGGUUAUAGUGGUUCAAGUACGUAGGAAAAGUUCUUUGGCAAAUCCGGGAACUCUAUUCUGAGAUAUGAUGACAAAACAUGAUUUAUUCAUGUAAAGUGACUAAUGCCACGCUUCCAGGAAAAGUCUCUAAGCUUCAGGUAUUGUAAAACCGUACCUAAACCGACACAGGUAGACAAGUAGAGAAUACUAAGGCGUUUGAGAGAACUUGGGUGAAGGAACUAGGCAAAAUGACACCGUAACUUCGGGAGAAGGUGUGCCUUUAAUAGGUGAAAGUCUUUACGACUAAAGCUGAAAAAGGUUGCAAAUACCAGGUGGCUGCGACUGUUUACUAAAAACACAGCACUCUGCAAACUCGUAAGAGGACGUAUAGGGUGUGACGCCUGCCCGGUGCCGGAAGGUUAAAUGAUGGAGUUAACUUUUGAGUAAAGCUUCAGAUUGAAGCCCCGGUAAACGGCGGCCGUAACUAUAACGGUCCUAAGGUAGAAUUGCUGCCUUAGUAAAAUCUGGCUAUAUGCUGGAAACUCCGAGUAUCCUGCAGUACUUGCUUUACCAUAAAAUUUUUUAAUUUUUAUUUAAAUUUUAUCUAAAGCAGUAAAAAUCUGACAGGUGCGGACAAUCAGCAGGAAAGACUAGUAAAAAUUAACUAGAUAAUUAGUUUUGUAAAUAUUAUUAAAUAAUUUUAAUCAAUUAUGUUAAACAUACACUCAAAAAAUUUAAAAACCCUUAAUAUUAAUAAAGUUAUUUAAUAUUAACAAAUAUAAGUAAAUAUUAAAUAUCAUAAAUAUUGUAAGUAAAUAUUAAAUUUUUUGUGAAAACAUAUAAAAAUUUUGUGAAAACUAAAAAAUUGUUUAUUUUUUAAAAAUAUUUAUUCUAAACUUCAAAAAAUUAAACUGUUUAAAAGUUAUUAAUAAAAUAUUACCCUUUUGUAAGGGUUGAUUAAGAUUACUAAAAUUAUUUACGUAAUUAGUAAUUAAGCGUUAGAAAUUAUAAUCCAAAUUUAUUAGAAUCCUCAGAGACUAUACGCCAGACAUUCAAUAAAUUUUGAAUUAAAGAUAAAUAAUUAAAUAAUUUUAAAUUUUGAAUGAAGAUAUAGUCCCGACUACAUGGCGACAUGUAGAAAAAGAAAAGUUACUUUUAAGUUAUUUAAAUUCAUUAAAUAAGUUAAGAUUUCAAGCGAAAUUCCUUGUCGGGUAAGUUCCGACCUGCACGAAUGGCGUAACGAUGGCCACGCUGUCUCCACCCAAGGCUCAGUGAAAUUGAAAUCGCUGUGAAGAUGCAGCGUACCCGCGGCUAGACGGAAAGACCCCGUGAACCUUUACUACAGCUUUACACUGAAUUUUGAAUAUACCUGUGUAGAAUAGGUGG
This 2813-nucleotide ribosomal RNA is filed under the name Coxiella endosymbiont of Rhipicephalus microplus. RNAcentral's name for it is "bacterial LSU rRNA". It matches the Rfam family "Bacterial large subunit ribosomal RNA", at positions 1 to 2150 of the family's 2925-position model. The record is from RNAcentral. Lineage: Bacteria; Pseudomonadati; Pseudomonadota; Gammaproteobacteria; Legionellales; Coxiellaceae.